CCCUUAGAUGUUCUGGGCUGCACGCGCGCUACACUGAUACUUUCAGCGAGUCCACCACCUUGCCUGGGAAGGUGGGGUAACCUCUGGAAAGUGCAUCGUGAUGGGGAUCGAUUAUUGUAAUUAUUAAUCUUCAACGAGGAAUUCCUAGUAAGCAUGUGUCAUCAGCCCGUGCUGAUUACGUCCCUGCCCUUUGUACACACCGCCCGUCGCUCCUACCGAUUGAAUGGUCCGGUGAAGCCUCGGGAUUGUGGUUAGUUUCCUUCAUUGGAAGUUAGCCGCGAGAACUUGUCUAAACCUUAUCAUUUAGAGGAAGGUGAAGUCGUAACA
RNAcentral lists this ribosomal RNA (327 nucleotides) under uncultured eukaryote. RNAcentral's name for it is "partial 18S ribosomal RNA". It matches the Rfam family "Eukaryotic small subunit ribosomal RNA", at positions 1470 to 1796 of the family's 1831-position model. The record is from RNAcentral.